AUUGAACGGUGGCGGAAUGCUUUACACAUGCAAGUCGAACGGCAGCACGGAGAGCUUGCUCUCUGGUGGCGAGUGGCGAACGGGUGAGUAAUAUAUCGGAACGUGUCCAAUAAUGGGGGAUAACGAGUCGAAAGAUUCGCUAAUACCGCAUACGCCCUACGGGGGAAAGCAGGGGAUCGUAAGACCUUGCGUUAAUGGAGCGGCCGAUAUCUGAUUAGCUUGUUGGUGAGGUAAAGGCUCACCAAGGCGACGAUCAGUAGCUGGUUUGAGAGAACGACCAGCCACACUGGAACUGAGACACGGUCCAGACUCCUACGGGAGGCAGCAGUGGGGAAUUUUGGACAAUGGGGGCAACCCUGAUCCAGCCAUUCCGCGUGAGUGAAGAAGGCCUUCGGGUUGUAAAGCUCUUUCGCAAGGGAAGAAAACUUAUGAUCGAAUAAAUCAUGAGGUUGACGGUACCUUGAUAAGAAGCACCGGCUAACUACGUGCCAGCAGCCGCGGUAAUACGUAGGGUGCGAGCGUUAAUCGGAAUUACUGGGCGUAAAGCGUGCGCAGGCGGUUUUGUAAGUCGGAUGUGAAAUCCCCGGGCUCAACCUGGGAACUGCGUUCGAAACUGCAAGGCUAGAGUGUGUCAGAGGGGGGUAGAAUUUCCACGUGUAGCAGUGAAAUGCGUAGAGAUGUGGAGGAAUACCAAUGGCGAAGGCAGCCCCCUGGGAUAACAC
This 722-nucleotide ribosomal RNA is filed under the name uncultured bacterium. Its description in RNAcentral is "bacterial SSU rRNA". It matches the Rfam family "Bacterial small subunit ribosomal RNA", at positions 28 to 740 of the family's 1533-position model. The record is from RNAcentral.